RNAcentral lists this ribosomal RNA (468 nucleotides) under uncultured bacterium. RNAcentral describes it as "partial 16S ribosomal RNA". It matches the Rfam family "Bacterial small subunit ribosomal RNA", at positions 28 to 507 of the family's 1533-position model. The record is from RNAcentral.
GACGAACGCUGGCGGCGUGCUUAACACAUGCAAGUCGAACGGAAAGGCCCUGCUUUUGUGGGGUGCUCGAGUGGCGAACGGGUGAGUAACACGUGAGUAACCUGCCCUUGACUUUGGGAUAACUUCAGGAAACUGGGGCUAAUACCGGAUAGGAGCUCCUGCUGCAUGGUGGGGGUUGGAAAGUUUCGGCGGUUGGGGAUGGACUCGCGGCUUAUCAGCUUGUUGGUGGGGUAGUGGCUUACCAAGGCUUUGACGGGUAGCCGGCCUGAGAGGGUGACCGGCCACAAUGGGACUGAGAUACGGCCCAGACUCCUACGGGAGGCAGCAGUGGGGAAUAUUGCACAAUGGGCGGAAGCCUUAUGCAGCAACGCCGCGUGCGGGAUGACGGCCUUCGGGUUGUAAACCGCUUUCGCCUGUGACGAAGCGUGAGUGACGGUAAUGGGUAAAGAAGCACCGGCUAACUACGUG